Molecule: ribosomal RNA, 442 nt
Filed under: uncultured bacterium
Lineage: Bacteria
Description: partial 16S ribosomal RNA
Rfam family: Bacterial small subunit ribosomal RNA
Source: RNAcentral
CCUACGGGAGGCAGCAGUGGGGAAUAUUGCACAAUGGGGGAAACCCUGAUGCAGCGACGCCGCGUGGGCGAAGAAGUAUUUCGGUAUGUAAAGCCCUAUCAGCAGGGAAGAAGAAAUGACGUUACCUGAGUAAGAAGCACCGGCUAACUACGUGCCAGCAGCCGCGGUAAUACGUAGGGUGCAGGCGUUAUCCGGAUUUAGUGGGUGUAGAGGGCGCGCAGGCGGCACGGCAAGCCUGAUGUGAAAGCCCGAGGCACAACCGCGGGACUGCCGUGGGAACUACCGGGCUGGAGUGUCGGAGAGGUAGGCGGAAUUCCUAGUGUAGCGGUGAAAUGCGUAGAUAUUAGGAGGAACACCAGUGGCGAAGGCGGCUUACUGGACGGUGACUGACGCUGAGGCUCGAAAGCGUGGGGAGCAAACAGGAUUAGAUACCCUAGUAGUC